RNAcentral lists this ribosomal RNA (566 nucleotides) under Boana stellae. RNAcentral describes it as "partial 16S ribosomal RNA". It matches the Rfam family "Bacterial large subunit ribosomal RNA", at positions 1831 to 2597 of the family's 2925-position model. Lineage: Eukaryota; Metazoa; Chordata; Amphibia; Anura; Hylidae. The record is from RNAcentral.
CGCCUCUUGAUAAAUAUAAGAGGUCCAGCCUGCCCAGUGACCUAGUUCAACGGCCGCGGUAUCCUAACCGUGCGAAGGUAGCGUAAUCACUUGUUCUUUAAAUGAGGACUAGUAUGAAUGGCACCACGAGGGUUACACUGUCUCCUUUUUUCAAUCAGUGAAACUAAUUUUCCCGUGAAGAAGCGGGAAUUUUCUUAUAAGACGAGAAGACCCUAUGGAGCUUUAAACAAAUUAACACUUGCUGCCCAAAAUGACUCUCCCAGGAACACACACACAGCAUAGCACGAUGAUUAAUAGUUUUUGAUUGGGGUGAUCACGGAGUAAAAAACAACCUCCAUGCCGAAAGGGCUCUUCCCUGAGCACAAAGCCACAACUUUAAGCACUAAAAAAAUUAACGUUUAUUGACCCAAUAUUUUGAUCAACGAACCAAGUUACCCUAGGGAUAACAGCGCAAUCCACUUCAAGAGCCCCUAUCGACAAGUGGGUUUACGACCUCGAUGUUGGAUCAGGGUAUCCUAGUGGUGCAGCCGCUACUAAUGGUUCGUUUGUUCAACGAUUAAAACCCU